AAAGAACGCAUCCGCAGACUCCCGAGUCCUGACUCAUCCUGCGUUGAUCAAUUCCACAGUCUUUCCUCCCAAGAAACAGAUUCACAGAAGAAGGCCGCAGAGAGGGAGAGAGAAAAGAGGCGUAAUCUUAUCAAUUAGAUACACAGAGAAUCAAGAUAAUCCUUUUUUAGCCUCAGAAAGAGAAGCCGAUCUGAUCGCUCUUUUAUUAUAAUUGAAAUUCACCCAAAAUUACUAUAAAGAAAUGGGAACGCUUCAGACUUGGAGAAAAGCCUAUGGCGCUCUCAAAGAUUCCACCAAAGUCGGUCUCGCUCAUGUCAACAGCGACUAUGCGGAAUUGGAUGUCGCUGUAGUCAAAGCAACCAACCACGUCGAGUGUCCACCCAAAGAGAGGCACCUUAGAAAAAUCUUGAUUGCCACGUCAGCGGUUCGUCCUCGUGCUGAUGUUGCUUAUUGUAUUCAUGCUCUUUCCCGCCGAUUGGCCAAGACCCAUAAUUGGACGGUUGCAUUGAAAACAUUGAUUGUCAUCCAUAGAUUAUUAAGAGAGGGUGAUCCUACUUUCAGAGAAGAACUACUAAAUUUCUCACAGAGAGGACGCAUCCUACAACUUUCUAACUUCAAGGAUGAUUCAAGUCCUAUUGCCUGGGAUUGCUCUGCCUGGGUACGUACAUAUGCUCUAUUUUUGGAGGAGCGGCUUGAAUGCUUUAGAAUUCUCAAGUAUGACAUUGAAGCUGAGCGUAUUCCAAGACCUGCCCAAGGGCAAGAUAAGGGCUACAGCAGAACCAGGGAAUUGGAUAGUGAAGAACUGUUGGAACAGUUGCCUGCAUUGCAGCAUCUACUGUAUCGCCUUGUUGGUUGUCGGCCUGAAGGUGCAGCUGUUAGCAAUUAUGUUAUACAGUAUGCUUUAGCGCUGGUAUGUUGCUCUAUCUGCUAUAAUUCCUGUCUUGUGAAGAGUUAUAUUUCUACUAUUGACCUUUUCAAGUUUUUUUAGCGUUAAUAAUUUUUCCAUGUUUGAGGUGUUUGAAAUCCCACACAAUAUUUUAAAAUAUCUAUUAUCAUGGUAAAGUUAACUAAACUCAACUAUAAGCCUUAAUCUCAAGUUAAUUAUGGUUGGCUAUAUUAUCAUGAUAUUUUGCUGUAGACCUGAAGUAAAGAUGAACUGUAUGUCUUAUAACACGACCCAGAAUAUUUCAUUGGAUUUAUAUGUGUAUCAUGUUAAGCAAAUGGAGUAGGAUACCAAGUUCAGCUGGAAGGGGUAAUGGAACUAAUUCAGUUAUUCAAAUUGAGGAAGACAUGGGUGGGGCUUGAAUUUAUGCUUUCUGUAUAUGUAUUAUAAUUAAUUUGAUGAAAUUGAUGGCAUGCAAUUUUCAGGUAUUGAAAGAGAGCUUUAAAAUAUAUUGUGCUAUUAAUGAUGGAAUUAUCAAUCUUGUGGAUAAGGUAAUCUAGAUUUAUUUUUUAAAAAUCAUUAUGUGCACGAGUCCACUUUUUUGCUGUGUCUUUGUAUUGGUGAUAAAUCUUGUGUAUGUUUUCAGUUUUUUGAGAUGCCAAGGCAUGAAGCUUUCACCGCCCUUGAUGUCUACAAACGAGCUGGCCAGCAGGUCAUAUUGUGAAUUGAGUUUUCUUAUGUCAGCUUCUAGUUAAAUGUUCUUGGUCAACCUUUAUUGUUUGUUAGAAUGUUCUUUAUGUUGUAGCAGAAAUGAUGAAACUAAGGUUUCAGCAGUUAAAAUUAUCUAUAUGGGUUGUACCUGCAGGCUGGUAGUCUUUCCGAUUUCUAUGAAGUUUGCAAAGGAUUGGAACUUGCUAGGAACUUCCAAUUUCCUGUUUUGAGAGAAGUAUUUGCUGCUAUGAGAUGGGUUUAAUGUUUUCCUUGGUUUAGUAUUUUCUUAUUAUGGCAGUCAGUCUAAUUUUAUCAUUGUUUUUCAUUUGCAGCCUCCGCAAUCCUUUCUUACAACCAUGGAAGAGUAUAUAAGAGAGGCACCGAGAGUUGUUUCUGUUCCAAGUGAGCCACUGGUCGGUACAAUUACUAUGAUUUCUGGGUCAAUAUAUUUGUUGCAAUGGGGCACAUUUUCCGGUUCAUAUUUUAUUCAGUUCUGCACAAUACUGCACACUACUUUAAUCAAACUUUAGAAACACAGGAUUCUUCAAUGUUAAACUGCAACUUCUUCUAUUUCAAAAAGACAGUUAAAGUGAUCCAGAAAUAGAGAAUAUUUAUCAAUUUUAGCCAAUCUAUAAAUAGGGAAUAUAAGCAUAAGAAAUGUCAAAAUUUGAUUAUUUACAGACAUAAUCACAUAGUUCUUUGCUUGUGAAGAUAUAUGGUUGGGUGCUCCUUUCUAUAUACGGAUUCUCAACAAGAAAGGAGCAGUUGGAUUCCAUUACUGCGUAGAUAGCUGGAUCUACAUUAGAUCCCGUCUAAUCAUUCCAUGUAUUCUAAUGAGGAGAAGUUUGGUUUGAAUAAUUCAAACAGCAGUGCCUUGGAAGGAUUUAAUUAUCAAGUAGGAGCAAUACAUUCAAGACUUCAUUUCUCAGAGGCUUAAAGCUAAAGAGCUAGUUGCUUCAAGAAUGUAAUGGCUAAUGGGAUCAUGAAAAUCAAUUAUUGCAACUUUGAUUUUGUUGGAAUAGCCUUUAGACCAGCUAUACAUAAUAAUGGGAUUGAACAUGGCUGUUAAAGAGCAACAUGCUUGAAAGAAGAGUAUGUUUGAUGGUAAAAUGUCAUGGCUGAUUGAGCUUCCAUAAAGGAUAAUAUUAAUUAAAGCAUGUGUAGAUAGGUAGAAAUAAUAAUUUCAGUUGAAGGAAACUUGCAUAUGAUGGUUUAGUUUUCUGAAAUGAAAACCAAUUCCAUUGACCAUAAUGGGUUAUAUAAAAGCAAAAUGAAAUAGAUAGAAGAAUGAACAUGAGAUGGGGUCAUAAGCUAAUUAUGUUUUAUCCUUAAUCUCACUGACUACAAGCCUCUUUGACAGGUCUAGUUGGCAGAAAAGAAUACAUGGUCUUAUAAUUAUACAUUGCUUUUGCUCCGAUCUCAUUUCCUUGUCAUUAACAUCUGUUGAUUAUUUUGCUUUGUGAGGAAAUCACUUUUAAAGGCAGAUGCUUUGGGACUAAUUUGUGGUCAUUUUAAACAGCUCCAAUUAACAUAUAGGCCAGAAGAGGGUCCUUCUGAAGCUGAAGACACCAAAGUACCCAGUGAUGAACCUGAGCCAAUGCCUUCAGAUGAUGUUGUUGUCUCCAGUGCUGAGAUUGUGCCUCCCACUCCUAUCACACCUCCUCAAAACAACAUGGACACUGGAGAUUUACUGGGAUUGAGUUAUGACGCACCUGAUGCAUCAGCCAUUGAAGAAAGAAAUGCGUUGGCUCUGGCUAUAGUUCCAAUUGAACAGGAUGCUGCGCCAACAUUCAAUUCUGGUGCUGCUCAAGCGAAAGAUUUUGACCCUACUGGAUGGGAGCUUGCCCUGGUUACCACUCCG
RNAcentral lists this unclassified non-coding RNA (3455 nucleotides) under Hevea brasiliensis (rubber tree). Lineage: Eukaryota; Viridiplantae; Streptophyta; Magnoliopsida; Malpighiales; Euphorbiaceae. The record is from RNAcentral.